GGGGGUAGAGCCUCCGCCCUUUGGGGAGUUUGGAGAUGGCGGCAGCCGGCGACGCUUCGCGGGAGCCGGCGGCCUCGGACCCGCCGGCGGAGCUGCCUGCCUCGGUGCGGGCGAGCAUCGAGCGGAAGCGGCAGCGGGCGCUGAUGCUGCGCCAGGCCCGGCUGGCGGCCCGGCCCUACCCGGCGACGGCGGCUGGGGCUACCGGAGGUAUGGCUAAUGUAAAAGCAGCCCCAAAGAUCAUUGACACGGGAGGAGGCUUCAUUCUGGAAGAGGAAGAGGAAGAACAACACACAAUUGGAAAAGUUGUCCAUCAACCAGGACCUGUUAUGGAAUUUGAUUAUGCAGUAUGUGAAGAGUGUGGUAAAGAAUUUAUGGAUUCUUACCUUAUGAGCCACUUUGAUCUGGCAACUUGUGAUAACUGCAGAGAUGCUGAUGAUAAACACAAGCUCAUAACUAAAACAGAAGCCAAACAAGAAUACCUUCUGAAAGACUGUGAUUUAGAAAAAAGAGAACCAGCUCUUAAAUUUAUUGUGAAGAAGAAUCCUCAUCAUUCACAAUGGGGUGAUAUGAAACUCUACUUAAAAUUACAGAUUGUGAAGAGGUCUCUUGAAGUUUGGGGUAGUCAGGAAGCAUUAGAAGAAGCAAAGGAAGCUCGACAGGAAAACCGAGAAAAAAUGAAACAGAAGAAGUUUGAUAAGAAAGUAAAAGAGGUCGGUGAACACGUUCCAGUUCUCCUGACUAGGCCACAAAGGGCUGAGAGUGGAGUAGACACUAUAGAGAUUAGAAACAAGGAGCUUACCGUGCAGUUUGCUCAGAACAGAGAGGAAUAAAAGCAAGUCUAAAAGUUUAGUUGAAGAGAAAUUGGAACCUGGUUCCUCUUGGUCUUCUGAUUUUGAUCCACAGAGAAGCUGACACAAAGCUUACUUCUUUAUGGAAAGAAUUACGGCGAGCAGUAAGAAGCAGCGUGUGGAGAAGGGAAACAGUUGCUCAUCAACAUGAGUAUGGACCAGAAGAAAACCUAGAGGAUGACAUGUAUCGGAAGACUUGUACUGUGUGUGGCCAUGAGCUGACAUAUGAGAAGAUGUGACUAG
RNA transcript from Mirounga angustirostris (Northern elephant seal), 1091 nucleotides. It is a transcript of the gene named XPA, DNA damage recognition and repair factor, with no coding region annotated. The record is from RefSeq and is a predicted model, not a curated record. Lineage: Eukaryota; Metazoa; Chordata; Mammalia; Carnivora; Phocidae. The transcript is spliced from 7 exons.